Sorex araneus (European shrew) is the source of this 5499-nucleotide RNA transcript. It is a transcript of the gene named cartilage associated protein, with no coding region annotated. The transcript is spliced from 8 exons. The record is from RefSeq and is a predicted model, not a curated record. NCBI's taxonomy places the organism in Eukaryota, Metazoa, Chordata, Mammalia, Eulipotyphla, Soricidae.
CUCCUCCUUCCUCUCUUCCUUCCUCUCCCGGCGGGCCCGCAGCCGCCCUUCCUUCCGCCGGGCGCGAUGGGGCCGGAGCGCGGGGCGGCCGCGGCGCUGCUGGCGCUGCUGUGCGCGGGCUGCGCGCUGCGCUCGGGGCGCGCCCAGUACGAGCGCUACAGCUUCCGCAGCUUCCCGCGGGACGAGCUGAUGCCGCUCGAGUCGGCCUACCGCCACGCGCUGGACCAGUACAGCGGCGAGCACUGGGCGGAGAGCGUGGGCUACCUGGAGAUCAGCCUGCGGCUGCACCGCCUGCUGCGCGACAGCGAGGCCUUCUGCCACCGGAACUGCAGCGCGGCGCCCGAGCCCGAGCCCGAGCCCGAGCCCGAGCGCGCCGCCGCCCUGGCGCGCUACCCCGAGCUGCGCCUCUUCGGGGAUCUGCUGCGCCGGGCGCACUGCCUUAAGCGCUGCAAGCAGGGCCUGCCCGCCUUCCGCCAGUCGCAGCCUAGCCGCGACGUGCUGGCCGACUUCCAGCGCCGCGAGCCCUACAAGUUCCUGCAGUUCGCCUACUUCAAGGCAAAUAAUCUUCCAAAAGCCAUUGCCGCGGCCCACACCUUCCUUCUGAAGCAUCCCGAGGACGAGAUGAUGAAGAGGAACAUGGCCUAUUACAGGAGCCUGCCCGAUGCCGAGGACCACAUCAAAGACCUGGAGACCAAGUCCUAUGAGAACCUGUUCAUUCGCGCCGUGCGGGCCUACAACGGUGAGAACUGGCGCACGUCCAUCACCGACAUGGAGCUGGCCCUGCCCGACUUCUUCAAGGCCUUUUAUGAGUGUCUGGCAGCCUGCGAGGGCUCCAGGGAGAUCAAGGACUUCAAGGAUUUCUAUCUGUCCAUAGCAGAUCAUUACAUAGAAGUUCUGGAAUGCAAAAUACAGUGUGAAGAGAGCCUCACACCUGUGGUCGGGGGCUACCCGGUGGAGAAAUUCGUGGCUACCAUGUAUCACUAUUUGCAGUUUGCUUAUUAUAAGUUGAACGACCUCCAGAACGCGGCUCCCUGUGCUGUCAGCUACCUGCUCUUCGACCCCCAGGACAAGGUCAUGCAGCAGAACCUGGUGUAUUACCAGUACCACAGAGACAAGUGGGGCCUCGCCGACGAGCACUUCCAGCCCCGGCCGGAAGCAGUUCAGUUCUUCAAUGUGACGACGCUCCAGAAAGAGCUGUAUGACUUUGCUAAGGAGAAUCUCAUGGAUGAUGACGAGGGAGAGGUAAUCGAGUAUGUGGACGACUUCCUGGAGACGCAGGAGACGGGCUAGUCAUGGCGACCAGAGACCUGCCGCGGACAUUCUGGAAGCAGUCUUUGUCUUCCUUUCCUCAGUAGGCCACGUGGUUGAUACCUCAGAGUCUUCUCUUUCCUCUGUGACAUGGAAGGGAAGGCCCCAUCUCUCACUACACACAGCUCGGGGUCACACCCGGCGAUGCACAGGGGUCACUCCUGGCUCUGCAUGCAGGAAUUACUCCUGGCGGUGCUCGGGGGACCAUAUGGGAUGCUGGGAAUCGAACUCGGGUCGGCCGCGUGCAAGGCAAACGCUCUACCCGCUGUGCUAUCACUCCAGCCCCAGGUGCCACUUCUGGAUGUGGGGAAGGUGGAUGUUGGGUGGCUAAGCCAGGAAGCUGGCACAGAGCAGGCUGCUGGGAUUGAGAAGGGGAGUUUCCGGUUGCAAAUAAAACUGGAGCACUUUCUCACAACAGGUCUUGAAGUAGAGCUUCAAAUAGUGACCUGAAUGCAUGCGCUUUAUUGGGACUGGGAGUGUAUUCAGAAACCUGUGAAGGCCUCUCAGAGUCUGAUACUGGCUCUGGGGGGGUUUCACAGGGCACAGGGGUGAAUUUUUUUUUCUUUUUGGGUCACACUCACGUGUUGCUCAGGGGUUACUCCUGGCUUUGCACUCAGGAAUCACUGCUGGCGGUGCUCACUGAUGGGAUGCUGGGAAUCGAACCUGGGUUGGCCACGUGUAAGGCAAACACCCUACCUGCUGUGCUAUCAUUCCAGCCCCAGGGGUGAAUUUUUUUUUUUCCCCAGGGGUGAAUUUUUGAAGCAAAAUAUAGUCUGCUAAUGCAGCUGACGGGCACAUUUCAGGGACCAUGUGGUGCAGAAAAUAAUUUAGUUCAGAGUUUGAACUUACAAGACUUGUCUGCUAACACCAGAGCCACAUCCUCUGCCCCCAAGGCCAUUUUGUUUGUUGGUUUUGGCCACACUAAGCGAUAUUGAGGGCUUACUCCUGGCUCUGCACUCAGGAAUUACUCCUGGCGCUGCUCUGGAAACCAUAUGGGAUGCCGGGGAUUGAACCCGGGUUGGCCGUGUGCAAGGCCAGUGCCUUACUGUACUAUUGCUCCAGCCCCUCCUGAGCAUUAUUUAGAGGGGGGCUGUUGCCUUGAGUGCAGCCCACAGGCUCAGAUGGAGUUGUGGGGUGUUGCCUACAUUGCCUCAGGGAGGAGAACCUGGGAGAAGCCCCACAGCACCCCCUGCUGGACCCAGGCGUCAAUGGCACUUGAAGCUGAGGCUGGCUGGGUCUUCUCCUCACGUGAGGUAAUUUCAAAGCAGGAGAAAAGGGCCUAGGAUAGCCCCUAGCAGUGAGAACCCUACCAGGAAGACAGAGCAGAGCCUGGGGUGCUGAUGUUCAGGAGCUUGAUUAUUUUUUUUCUGGGGACACAACCGUCGUGCCCUGGGACCACUCCCAGUGGUGUUGGGUGGUAGGGUGAGGGGGACCAUGCAGUGUCGGGGUUGAAACUGGGCCUCCCGCCUGCAGAGCACGUGCUCUGGCCCUUCCAGCCCUCCCCGAGUAGGCUCUCUGGGUGCCAGUGGGCGGUCGGGACGAGGUCAGCUUGAGGAAGCUCAUCAGCCAUGCAGGGCUGAGGGAAUGGCAGCGUCUUGGACCUGGCCUGAAGGUUCCCACAGACCUGCCCACACAUUGGCUUGUUUUCAGCAGACAGGCGGCCACUAGAGAACCUCAGAGCUCUGAGUCCAGGUUCCUCUGGGCUUGGGAGAAGCUGAUCGCUGACAGAAGCCCUCAGGAAAGAGCCUGAGGCGCUGUCUCUCUCUCUUUUUUUUUUUUUUUUUGCCUUUUUGGGUCACACCCGGCGAUGCACAGGGGUUAUUCCUGGCUCUGCGCUCAGGAAUUACUCCUGGCGGUGCUCAGGGGACCAUAUGGGAUGCUGAUGGGAUGCUGGGAAUUGAACCCGGGUCGGCCACGUGCAAGGCAAAUGCCCUACCCGCUGUGCUAUCGCUCCGGCCCCCAUAAGGCGCUGUCUCUAAUCAUUCAUGCUGGACACUCAGAGUGAAGGGCUAAGGGGAGCUUCGUGUGUCUGGGGGGCUUAUUAUUUUAUUCUGGGCCAUACCUGCUGUUGUUCAGGGCUUACUUAUGGCUCUGCACCCAGGGAUCACUUCUGGUGGCUCUCAGAUUGAACCUGACAGCCAAGGGCAAGGCUUGGAACCCUUUUAGUAGCUCUCCAGGCUCUCUGUUUCCAGGGGACAAUUUGGGGCCGGAGAGAUGGCUCAACGGCUCAAGGCACGGUUUGAUCCCCAACAUCACAUGGUUCCCCAAACACCACUGCAUGUGAUCCCAAAACCAAAGUAAAGAAAUGAAUGAAAGUAACUGAUGGUCCUCCAUACACCGACAUAAUCAAUUAACAAAUAUUGUCCCAGGCCACUGUUUGUGGUUUCAGUUCCCCGUGGUCCACCGGGUCUGAACAUAUUGGCUGUAAGAAAAUAGUCUCAGGGAGAAGGACCACAUUUACAUAGCUUUCCUUCAUGCAUGUUGUUAGGAUUGGUCUCGUCAGCCUAUUACUCUGCCUAAUUUCUAAAUCACGUUUGAACUGUACAUACAGAAACACUGUAAGGUGUUGGCGCUCCCAGACCCCCACGCGGGCCUUGGAACCUGUCUGAAGAAAAGAAAGGGUGCAUCUGUCUUUCCUGGGUCUUGCCAUGAUGAUUAUUGCCACUCACCUAUCGGGCUCACCUCCGAAAGCCAGGAGAAACCACCACGGCUGUCUUUGGCAGUGUGGCUCUCAGGAGCUUGCGCUCAGAUUUUCAUUUUUCAGAGCACAAAAAUUUUAUUGAGCCCAACUCAGUGGCAAACAGAAAAUGAUUUGUUAGGCUGUCGAUGGGAAAGGGUUUAUUAUGACUGCCGGUGGAAUAAACAGUGGUCGGUUUCUGCCCACAUUUAUGGAAAUCAGGUUUUUAAGUUUUAAAAUGUGAGCCGUAAACCUAAGCUACUUCAGUUUAAAAAAAAAAAUUUCAAUACUUAAACUGUGGGGGAAAGGUGGCUGGGUGCCAGCGAAAACAUUCUCACUUAAUAGUGUUUGGGCGUGGGGCGGUGGCACAGCUCGUAGCGAGGUACUGAGAAAAACCCACAACUAAUCCUUCAUCGCAGCUGUCUGAACUCUUGAUCAUCUGCCAUCCCUUAAACAGCGACUUCUUUUUUCUGCUAAGUCCAGGCUUGAAUGACCUAGUGUGGAGAGUUUAAACUCUAUGCGAGAGGGGAGGAGGGGAAGGAAAGGAACCUUAAAUAAGCAUCAGCCAAAGGUUUUGUACAUUGGAUUUCCUGUGCCCGCAGCCGGGCAAGGCACUUCUCUACCUCGUUCCGUGGCAUGGGACCCAGCAGGGACGACCCCACAACAGCCAGGCUUUGCCUUGCCUGACCCACUCCUAGCCCCAAGCAAACGUCCAGGGCUGGGCAUUGUGCCCUAGUGGAGAAGCCCCCUCCCAAGACAGGCACCUGGACCCCCAUAGCCAAGCGGCUCACCCUCAGCCACCUCGGCCACACAGCUAUGUGUCUUCUGUGGCUGCAGAAUGAAUGAGUUGGCUCACAGUCUUCUUGGAACUGAGCGGGUGAGAUACUGGCGCCCUUUCUUACAAGGAAAGACGGGAGAGAUGGAACCACCAGGCCCACAGCUACGAGAUCAACCCUGGAGUCUCGAGGCCCACUAGAGGAGGGGCAGCCAGAGGUCCACCGUGGCUGAUGUCCUCCUGCCUCCCCUUCGUGGGUUAGGGCAGUGAUGUACAAUCUCACUCUUGUGGGGCUUCAGGACUUGGGAGAUUGUUGGAAAAAAAAAAGAUAUUUGGAAAAUGACAAUAAGGGCUGGAGCGAUAGCACAGCGGUAGGGCAUUUGCCUUGCACGUGGCCAACCUGGGUUCGAUUCCUCCGCCCCUCUUGGAGAGCCUGGCAAGUUACUGAGGGUAUCUCGCCUGCAUGGCAGAGCCUGGCAAGCUACCUGUGGCGUAUUUGAUAUGCCAAAAAUAGUAACAACAAGUCUCAAAAUGGAGAUGUUACUGGUGCCCGCUCGAGCAAAUCGAUGAGCAACGGGAUGACAGUGACAGUGACAGUGACAAUAAGGGUCAGAGAGAUAGGACAAUGGGUAGGGUGCUUGCCCUGCAUGUAAAUAACCCAGGUUCAGUGCUCAGUAUUGCAUGUGGUCUGAGCACCGCCAGGAAGAGCUCUUGAGCACCACCAGGCAUGGUACAACAU